ACUCUAGUUUGACAUUGUGAAAAGACAUAGAGGGUGUAGCAUAAGUGGGAGCGAAAGCGCCAGUGAAAUACCACUACCUUUAUCGUCUUUUUACUUAUUCAAUGGAGCGAAGCUGGGAUUAACGUCUCACUUUUUAGUAUUAAAGUCUUAUUCAGGCUCAUUCGGGUUGAAGACAUUGUCAGAUGGGGAGU
RNAcentral lists this non-coding RNA (191 nucleotides) under Melampsora larici-populina 98AG31. RNAcentral's name for it is "eukaryotic large subunit ribosomal RNA". It matches the Rfam family "Eukaryotic large subunit ribosomal RNA", at positions 2425 to 2620 of the family's 3401-position model. Lineage: Eukaryota; Fungi; Basidiomycota; Pucciniomycetes; Pucciniales; Melampsoraceae. The record is from Rfam by way of RNAcentral.